GUGUCAGCAGCCGCGGUAAGACAGAGGAGCCAAGCGUUGUCCGGAGUAACUGGGCGUAAAGCGCACGCAGGUGGUCGGGUGCGUGGGGUGUGAAAGCUCUGGGCUUAACUCAGAGAGGCCACCUCAUACGGCCUGGCUCGAGCCCUGCAGAGGUCCACGGAAUUGCCGGUGUAGUGGUGAAAUGCGUAGAGAUCGGCAGGAACACCCAGGGGGAAACCAGUGGACUGGGCAGGCGCUGACACUCAUGUGCGAAAGCGUGGGGAGCGAACCGGAUUAGAUACCCCCGUAGUCC
Molecule: ribosomal RNA, 292 nt
Filed under: uncultured bacterium
Lineage: Bacteria
Description: partial 16S ribosomal RNA
Rfam family: Bacterial small subunit ribosomal RNA
Source: RNAcentral